AUGCUUUCAUUCUUGAAUGCAACCGGGACUGAACUUCACUCACCAAAGGGAGCUGGUCCUCUCAGCUAUUUCUUACCAGAGAUCUGGUGUAGCCAGCAGAACCAAACCUCCAGAGUGCACUGCUGGACCAUUUGGAGGCAGCCUGUCAGUUUUCAUCAUGAAGGUGCUACUACACAGGAAAAGGAAAACUUCAAGGGUGAUCAAAAUGGCUCAUCAAGGUUGGAAGGGCGGCUCAACGGCUUUGGCAAUGGAAGGGAGUCUCCAUUGGACUAUCCAGCAGGAUUUGAAGUAGUAGUGGUGGAAGCACCUUGUGGGUUCAGGGUGGAGGGCAAGCUUCCAGCAUCAAAUAGGGUGCCAGAUCUAUAUGGAGGAACAAAAGGUGAACUGCUGAUCUACCUUCCCCAGGGAAAGAGCAGUUGGCAUAAAUCGGCGGUCCUGCGCUGGAUACACCUAGGAGACACAGCCACUGCAGACCUAGCAGGUCUUUUGACUGUUUCUGCUCUUUACCUGAAGGAUCAGUUCCUAUAGGAGGAUUCUCUCAAUUACAACAAAUGAAGAGGUGCUGCUUCAUUAUUUAGCCAGGUAUAACUAUUGUUUUAUUGCAUUUCAAAUACCUGAUCUUAAGAGUAGGAAGAUUCAAUGUUUCCAGCAUGAAAACUAGGGAUCCAAACAGUGUUUUCCUAGGAGGAAUGUGUUUAAUACAGAGUAACCAUUACAUUUCUGUAAUAAGCCUGCAUAGGAUUCACGUCUCUCUUUCCAUCAUGGGGAUCAGAGCUAUGCAGACAUUUAGGACAGCAAAUGGAGCUAUGUUGGGGUUUAUAUGUGGUGUAUGUCUGAGAUGUGCAAGACUGAAGUUCCAUAAUAAAAAUAAAAAAAGGUCUGUAUAGUGAGAAUCU
Molecule: long non-coding RNA, 896 nt
Filed under: Coturnix japonica (Japanese quail)
Lineage: Eukaryota; Metazoa; Chordata; Aves; Galliformes; Phasianidae
Description: lncRNA (ENSCJPG00005019297.1)
Source: RNAcentral